RNAcentral lists this ribosomal RNA (692 nucleotides) under Neohypochnicium cremicolor. RNAcentral's name for it is "eukaryotic LSU rRNA". The stretch from base 275 to 428 matches the Rfam family "5.8S ribosomal RNA". Lineage: Eukaryota; Fungi; Basidiomycota; Agaricomycetes; Polyporales. The record is from RNAcentral.
UAGAGGAAGUAAAAGUCGUAACAAGGUUUCCGUAGGUGAACCUGCGGAAGGAUCAUUACUGAAUUUAAUUCCGGGGUUGUAGCUGGCCAUUGUUUUGGCAUGUGCACACCUUGGUAUAAUCCAAAUUCAUUCACACCUCUGUGCACCAUUUCGUGGGAUUGAAGGACAAUGAAUGAAUUGCGCUUAGCUCUUCUUUUCUUUGCCCAAAUUUCCCAUGUCUUCUUAUAUACUCUACAGUUUUAGAAUGUUAAUUGCGUUGAACGCAUUUAUAUACAACUUUCAGCAACGGAUCUCUUGGCUCUCGCAUCGAUGAAGAACGCAGCGAAAUGCGAUAAGUAAUGUGAAUUGCAGAAUUCAGUGAAUCAUCGAAUCUUUGAACGCACCUUGCGCUCCUUGGUAUUCCGAGGAGCAUGCCUGUUUGAGUGUCAUGGUAUUCUCAAUCCAUUCUGGGUUUUUGAAAAGAAACUUGUUUGGAAUUGGACUUGGAGGCUUUUUGUUGGUUACACUUUGUUAAUCGACUCCUCUAAAAUGCAUUAGCAGGAACGAAGUGCCAUCUUCAGUGUGAUAAUUAUCUGCAUUGUGGAAUGGUGCUUGGAAGUUCUGGCUUCUAAUUGUCUAUUCUCUUAGACAUUAUUUAUGACAUCUGACCUCAAAUCAGGUAGGAUUACCCGCUGAACUUAAGCAUAUCAAUA